This 830-nucleotide small RNA is filed under the name Histoplasma capsulatum var. duboisii H88. RNAcentral's name for it is "Histoplasma capsulatum H88 hypothetical RNA". The record is from RNAcentral. Lineage: Eukaryota; Fungi; Ascomycota; Eurotiomycetes; Onygenales; Ajellomycetaceae.
CAUGGGCUUAUAAGGCGCUGGACCUCUCCAAAGCGAAACGCAUCUUCCUCCUCGGCCCCUCUCACCACCACCACCUCUCCACCCUCGCCCUCCCGCAACUAACCAGCUACAAAACCCCUCUCUCCCCAGAUCCACUGCCCCUUGACACAGACCUAAUCACCCACCUCCUCUCCACCACCUCCACCAACACGCACUUCACCACGAUGAGCCCGCCCGUCGACUCCGCCGAACAUAGCCUAGAGCUCCACCUCCCCUACAUCCACCAUCUCCUGCGCACGCUCUACCCCACCAGGGCCCCCGCCGCCUACCCCCGCCUGGUCCCCAUGAUGGUCGGCAGCACCUCCCCAGCCACCGAAGCCGCCUUCGGCGCCCUGCUGGCCCCUUACCUCGCCGACGACACGAACGCCUUCGUCGUCUCCUCCGACUUCUGCCACUGGGGCCUCCGCUUCGGAUACACGUAUUACGUGCCCGGCGCGCCCGUGCCCGCGCCCGCGCUGCCGAUCUCGUAUCCGAAGCUUCCCGUGCCGGCGGCGUCAUCAACGACGACGACGACGACGCGGGGUACUGCUACCGGUGCAGCGGAGGCCAGGGCAGCCAUCGACGCCGUGUCCGGCGGCGGCGCAUUCAAGGCCCGCAGCCGCAUGCUGGGGGGCGGGGCGGGGGUCCCGCUCAUCCACGAGAGCAUCUCUGCGUGCGACGUGGCGUGUAUGCGGGCGAUCGCAUCCGGGGAGACGGAGCUGUUUCUCGACGCGCUGCGCAGGACGGGCAAUACGGUCUGCGGGAGGCAUCCGAUUGGGGUUGUGAUGGCUGGGUUGGAGGCUGUGAGGAGG